GACGAACGCUGGCGGCGUGCUUAACACAUGCAAGUCGAACGGAAAGGCCCUGCUUGCAGGGUACUCGAGUGGCGAACGGGUGAGUAACACGUGGGUGAUCUGCCCUGCACUUCGGGAUAAGCCUGGGAAACUGGGUCUAAUACCGGAUAGGAGCCAUUUUUAGUGUGAUGGUUGGAAAGUUUUUUCGGUGUAGGAUGAGCUCGCGGCCUAUCAGCUUGUUGGUGGGGUAAUGGCCUACCAAGGCGGCGACGGGUAGCCGGCCUGAGAGGGUGGACGGCCACAUUGGGACUGAGAUACGGCCCAGACUCCUACGGGAGGCAGCAGUGGGGAAUAUUGCACAAUGGGCGCAAGCCUGAUGCAGCGAAGCCGCGGGGGGGAUUACGGCCUUCGGGUUGGAAACUCCUUUCGCUAGGGACGAAGCUUUUUGUGACGGUACCUAGAUAAGAAGCACCGGCUAACUACGUG
Molecule: ribosomal RNA, 465 nt
Filed under: uncultured bacterium
Lineage: Bacteria
Description: partial 16S ribosomal RNA
Rfam family: Bacterial small subunit ribosomal RNA
Source: RNAcentral